CAGCCGCCGCGGUAAUACGUAAGGAGCGAGCGUUGUUCGGAAUUAUUGGGCGUAAAGGGCAUGUAGGCGGUUACGUAAGUCUGAUGUGAAAUACUACAGCUUAACUGUGGGAACGCAUUGGAAACUGUGUGACUUGAAUCUGUGAGGGGUAACUGGAAUUCCUAGUGUAGGGGUGAAAUCUGUUGAUAUUAGGAAGAACACCGAUGGCGAAGGCAAGUUACUGGCACAUGAUUGACGCUGAGAUGCGAAAGCGUAGGGAGCGAACAGGAUUAGAUACCCUGGUAGUCUACGCUGUAAACGAUGUGCACUUGGUGUCGGGGUUUCUAAGCCUCGGUGCCGUAGCUAACGCGUUAAGUGCACCGCCUGGGGAGUAUGCCGUCAACGGUGAAACUCAAAGGAAUUGACGGGGGCCCGCACAAGCGGUGGAGCAUGUGGUUUAAUUCGAUGAUACGCGAGAAACCUUACCAGGGUUUGACAUAUUUAUGAUCGACGUAGAGAUACGUAAUUCCCUUCGGGGACAUUUAUACAGGUGCUGCAUGGUUGUCGUCAGCUCGUGCCGUGAGGUGUUGGGUUAAGUCCCGCAACGAGCGCAACCCCUAUUGUCUGUUACCAUCAUUAAGUUGGGGACUCAGGCAAGACUGCCGGUGACAAACCGGAGGAAGGUGGGGACGACGUCAAAUCAUCAUGGCCCUUAUAUCCUGGGCUACACACGUGCUACAAUGGCCAGUACAGAGUGAUGCGAAGCCGCGAGGUGGAGCAAAACGCAGAAAGCUGGUCUCAGUUCGGAUUGGAGUCUGAAACUCGACUCCAUGAAGGUGGAAUCGCUAGUAAUCGCGCAUCAGCAUGGCGCGGUGAAUACGUUCCCGGGCCUUGUACACACCGCCCGUCACACCACCCGAGUUGGGGGUACCCGAAGUCGCUAGUCUAACCUGCAAAGGAGGACGGCGCCGAAGGUAUGCCUGGUAAGGGGGGUGAAGUCGUAACAAGGUAACCGUA
Molecule: ribosomal RNA, 996 nt
Filed under: uncultured Spirochaeta sp.
Lineage: Bacteria; Pseudomonadati; Spirochaetota; Spirochaetia; Spirochaetales; Spirochaetaceae
Description: bacterial SSU rRNA
Rfam family: Bacterial small subunit ribosomal RNA
Source: RNAcentral